CUCAAAUCCUCAGGAGAUGGGUUGACUAAGGCUAUGGGUUUUCACUUAUCCGUGCAAAGGAGCAUGGCAAAAUAGAUUUCCUUGGCCCUGCACAUGCUUUACAUCCCUGUUCCAGGGCAACUCAAACUGUGACAGAAGGAGCUUCCAAAGGCACUGUGGUGGUCUAGUUUGCUGUAACCUAAGAAGUCAUCCUCUGCAGCUCUCUGCCCACAGCUCUCUGCCGGAGGUUUCCUCCCCAGCAGCAGUGGUGGCAACAGAAAGACACAGUCCCCUCUUUGCUCCCUGAAACUCCAUCAGCUUCACUGAGACGUAGACUUGGACUGCAACCCAAGAACGAAAGCCGUGGCUUGGAUCUAUAUCUGAGCAACUUCACUGAGUAUGAAUGUUAAUGAAAGACCACAUUCCUCUCUUCCUCCAAAGACUGAGUCCUUUAUUCAGAGGGACAUAAUGAUGGAGAUAAUGGCUGGGUCAUCGAUACCACCCUCUCUUCUUUCUAAAGGAAAUGGAAGUUACUUUCCUGUGUCCUGGUGAAUGCAGUUUUGACAACACAUCAGUUAAAAAAACAAUUGGAUGGGAUGAAAAAAGGACCGAACACAUAUCACGUUUCUGGGCUCCUCCUCUGCAGGAUGAUGAUUCUGGGCCUGGAGGCAUUCACAACCAUACGCACUCCUGCCGUUGAUGCCUUCUGAACACACUCCUAUCCAUUCCAACUCUCCUCUUCAAAUCUUUAGGUACACAGUUUUGUAAGGACACAACUGAGAAUGUUUUGUUUAAUUUAAGAGAAUUGUGACUGGGAAGGACUUUGCCAACCUAACCCUGAAAUCUAAUCCUGCUACCUUCUCUGGUGAGCAUUGGAAGCUCAGGCUGAGUCGAGCUGCUCUGUUGGAAGCUAUGCAUUAUUGCCAUGAGAGCCACAGCGGCACACCCCACUCGGCCUCCUGGGGCUUCAGCACGAAAUGCUCUGCAGUCACAUCCACACAAAUGGCUCUGCAUGCAUGUGCAGCCUCAGCUCUUCAGGCUGUGGCUGGAUCCUGUUCUAGUUUGGGUAAGUGCCCUCCUACACUGAGGGAAGAGAUGCAUUUACCCAUCUGGUGAUUUUAUGGCAACAUUAAUUGACCAAAAGUAUAAUUAUGCAUUUGCUAUUAUGCACACGGCAGUCAGUCACAAUUAUUUACCAAGAUGCCUAAGGUGAUUAAAAAAGACAAACUAUGACAUGUGGGAAGUCCUAAGCUGCCACGUCAUCCAAAUGUGCAGAAAACAACACAUUCCUAGUAGGAACUCACAAGUAAAGUUACUCGUGUUUUCACUUACCCAAGAAAGCUACUGACUGAGGGGUUCAUCAGUACUGCUUUCAGGGAGUGCAAAAACAUGGGAAUAGUCACAGUGAAUUAGUCUGGAAAGUGGGGAAGCACACUGCAACACGUUCUGGAGUAUUUUCCCAUCUGAGUUAACAAGGCUGGGUGUGGAAUAUGGCAGAAUAUGGAAUAUGGAGCCCUCACCUUUGUCACAAGGGGUCUCUCAUGUAAGGAGUUGCGUUGGACUUUUUCUUCCCUAGAUCACUUUCGAACUCUGGAUUGAAUACAAACAUUAGUUGUCUAUCAUUGAAAAGCACGUAUCAAGCCUGAAGAAACUCCUGAAACCUUCAAAGCUAACAACUCUGAUGAGAGAGG
Gallus gallus (chicken) is the source of this 1670-nucleotide long non-coding RNA. Lineage: Eukaryota; Metazoa; Chordata; Aves; Galliformes; Phasianidae. The record is from Ensembl.